This 257-nucleotide unclassified non-coding RNA is filed under the name plant metagenome. Its description in RNAcentral is "partial contains small subunit ribosomal RNA, internal transcribed spacer 1, and 5.8S ribosomal RNA". The stretch from base 1 to 54 matches the Rfam family "Eukaryotic small subunit ribosomal RNA", at positions 1778 to 1831 of the family's 1831-position model. The record is from RNAcentral.
GGAAGUAAAAGUCGUAUCAAGGUUUCCGUAGGUGAACCUGCGGAAGGAUCAUUAACAAAUCAUGCGCUGGCCCUUGGGCCGCGUACAUUCACCCAGAGCCCCGUGUAUGCGGGGUUCUUGUGGUUCGGGUUGUGUGUGCUGUGUGCGUAUGUAUACGCAGCGCGCACACGCACACCCCAAAACAUAGACGCUUGCAUGUUUGACUGUAUCAUUGGCAACAAAAUGGACAACUUUUAACAAUGGAUCUCUUGGCUCUU